AAUACCUAGGUAACCUACCUCUAAGAUGGGGAUAACCUUCCGAAAGGAGGGCUAAUACCGAAUGAGACCACAAGUACUAAUGUACUAAGGGUUAAAGAUGGCCUCUACUUGUAAGCUAUCACUUAGAGAUGGGCUUAUGCACCAUCAGCUUGUUGGUAGGGUAAUGGCCUACCAAGGCUUUGAUGGUUAGCUGAUCUGAGAGGUUGAUCAGCCACACUGGAACUGAGACACGGUCCAGACUCCUACGGGAGGCAGCAGUAGGGAAUAUUGCGCAAUGGAGGAAACUCUGACGCAGCGACGCCGCGUGGGUGAUGAAGGCUUUCGGGUCGUAAAGCCCUGUCGGAAGGGAAGAAAAAUAGGGUGGCUAACAUCCACUCUACUUGACGGUACCUUCAGAGGAAGCACCGGCUAACUACGUGCCAGCAGCCGCGGUAAUACGUAGGGUGCGAGCGUUAAUCGGAAUUACUGGGCGUAAAGCGUGCGCAGGCGGCUAUGUAAGACAGUUGUGAAAUCCCCGGGCUCAACCUGGGAAUUGCAUCUGUGACUGCAUAGCUAGAGUACGGUAGAGGGGGGAUGGAAUUCCGCGUGUAGCAGUGAAAUGCGUAGAUAUGCGGAGG
RNAcentral lists this ribosomal RNA (617 nucleotides) under uncultured bacterium. RNAcentral describes it as "bacterial SSU rRNA". It matches the Rfam family "Bacterial small subunit ribosomal RNA", at positions 112 to 704 of the family's 1533-position model. The record is from RNAcentral.